Molecule: ribosomal RNA, 319 nt
Filed under: Pholcus beijingensis
Lineage: Eukaryota; Metazoa; Arthropoda; Arachnida; Araneae; Pholcidae
Description: partial 12S ribosomal RNA
Source: RNAcentral
UCUUAACACUAUAGGUAGUACCACAAAACCAAUAUAUACUGGCGGUCUUCAUAAACUAGAGAAACUCGCUCUAUAAUCGUAAAUACCCGUUAAUUUUUACUAGAUUUAAUUAUAGCUUAUAUACCGCCGUUUAGAUUUUUUACACUAAUAAUUCUAUUCCCCACAAGGACAUAAAUCAGGUCAAGGUGUAGCUCAUGAUCUAGAAAGAGUAAGUUACAAUAAAUAAAAUUUAAGGACCUGAAAUAAACACUAAACCGAAAGAGAAUUUAUAUGUACAUAAAAAUCAAAACUUUAUAUUGAACUAACUUAUGAAUGAUGC